AAAGUCGUAACAAGGUUUCCGUAGGUGAACCUGCGGAAGGAUCAUUACAGAGAAGGCCCCCCAGGGGGCAGUGUCUCCCACCCGCUGUCUACCAUACUGUUGUUGCCUUGGCGGGCGCAUGCCCGCCAGAGGACCACCACGCUCUUUUAGGUGUUGUCUGAGUGGGCUCUAAGAUAAUCAAAACUUUCAACAACGGAUCUCUUGGUUCUG
Molecule: unclassified non-coding RNA, 210 nt
Filed under: Ascomycota sp.
Lineage: Eukaryota; Fungi; Ascomycota
Description: partial contains small subunit ribosomal RNA, internal transcribed spacer 1, and 5.8S ribosomal RNA
Rfam family: Eukaryotic small subunit ribosomal RNA (bases 1-47)
Source: RNAcentral